GGAAAACAUCACCAAAGAAGUACAGCUCAUGCAAACGAAAUUUCUGAGAAAAAUCCAGGAAAGAAAGACCCGGAGGUGUGAGAUCACAGUGACUUGAUUCAGGGCAGAAGACAUCUUUAUGUGCAUGCUGAGGGAUGUUGUGGAUCUUGUAGACUGCGUAACCAUCUUUGGGCAAGUUACCCAUGACUUCAUCUGGAUUGAAAAUGACAGGACAUCCCGAUGUGAAGUGACUAAGAGGAGAGCAGUAGGCAGCCUGGCAUCCUCCCAUUCCUCAUGCAGAAGAGGGGGACUUCUCUGCAGAGGAGGAAAAACAAGGCAUCCUAGCUCUCCUGUCUGAUUAGCAUCUACACCCCAUGGCUGCAGGGGGCGACGGUGGAAAGCUUGAACUCGGGCCAGAGAGCAUCACUAGACGUGGAGUGGCUGCUCUUUGCUGAAUGCUCCUAGGCUAGCCAUCUGUGGAAGACACUCUGCAUACACACGAGGAAGUAGCGGCUCCCUGAUACUGUGGACCACGAAGAGUAGUACUCCACUGUGUAUGAACAAAGUGCUCUCAGAAAUCACACACAAAUAAAGGAAAAUGUAUGUGAAGAGCAGUGGAGCAUUUCUACUUACCAUGGAAAUGAAAGCAGGUAUCUUCCUGAAGAGAUGAGGACAUCAUAUGGCACUGACACAUGCACACCCACAGUAGAAUAAGAAAGAUGGAACACUAUUGAAAAGCUCUUCCACCAAGGAGUCUCAAGAAAAUAUUGGAAGGAGUUGGCACUUUAAAAAUCUAUAUAAGUUGAGCCUGGUGUUACAGGCCUGGAACCACAGUAUUCUGAGUGGCUGAGGGAGGAAUACGUCAAGUUUGAGCCUAGCUGGAGCAACUUGGUCCACUCACUCAGCUUGGGUACCUGGGAUCAUAUGGACUCAGGAAGAUAAUUGGUGUAGGGCAUUGAAUGAGGAAGUAGUGCCCCAACUGAGGGAUCAGAGAGAAAGCUGUUGCCUCCUAUGAGAUGGAACGGUGAGGACUGGAGGGAUGACAGAGGAACGAAGAGAAGACAGAGGAGCAAAGAGAAGACAGAGGAGCAAAGAGAAGACAGCGGAUCCAAGAGAAGCAGAGCGCCUGCCAGAUCAACCUGGAAUAGGCUCUGUGUUGAAGUGGGAAUAGUAAUGAUGCUUGGUUUCUUCUUGUCUUACUCUACCAACUUCCUUUUCCUACCUAUCAGCGUCAGUGCCUCCAAGAUUGACUCAUGGAGAGAGAGG
This 1245-nucleotide long non-coding RNA is filed under the name Heterocephalus glaber (naked mole-rat). RNAcentral's name for it is "lncRNA (ENSHGLG00000046823.1)". Lineage: Eukaryota; Metazoa; Chordata; Mammalia; Rodentia; Bathyergidae. The record is from RNAcentral.